RNAcentral lists this ribosomal RNA (408 nucleotides) under uncultured bacterium. RNAcentral describes it as "partial 16S ribosomal RNA". It matches the Rfam family "Bacterial small subunit ribosomal RNA", at positions 29 to 526 of the family's 1533-position model. The record is from RNAcentral.
AGUGAACGCUGGUGGCGUGCCUAAUACAUGCAAGUCAAACGGAGUGGCGCACGGGUGAGUAAUGUAUAGCUAAUCUGCCCUACACUAGAGGACAACAGGUGGAAACGACUGCUAAUACUCUAUAGUGUAGGAUGAGGGUAUAUUGUAUCAGCUAGUUGGUGAGGUAAUGGCUCACCAAGGCUAUGACGCAUAACUGGUCUGAGAGGAUGAUCUGUCACCCUGGACGUGAGACACGGUUCAGACUCCUUCGAGAGGCAGCAGUAGGGAAUAUUGCCCAAUGGGGGAAACCCUGAAGCAGCAUCGCCGCGUAGAGGACUACACUUUUCGGAGCGUAAACUCCUUUUGUUAGGGAAGCGGUACCUAACGAAUAAGCACCGGCUAACUCCGUGCCAGCAGCCGCGGUAAUUC